ACAUACUUCUUUAUGUACCCAUAUGAAGAUACAAUGUUAUGGAAUGUAAAGAAGUAUGUAU
Molecule: microRNA precursor, 61 nt
Filed under: Anolis carolinensis (green anole)
Lineage: Eukaryota; Metazoa; Chordata; Lepidosauria; Squamata; Anolidae
Description: Aca-Mir-1-P1_pre stem-loop
Rfam family: mir-1 microRNA precursor family
About the family: This family represents the microRNA (miRNA) mir-1 family. miRNAs are transcribed as ~70nt precursors (modelled here) and subsequently processed by the Dicer enzyme to give a ~22nt product. In this case the mature sequence comes from the 3' arm of the precursor.
Source: RNAcentral